This 3622-nucleotide long non-coding RNA is filed under the name Sparus aurata (gilthead seabream). Its description in RNAcentral is "lncRNA (ENSSAUG00010016516.1)". Lineage: Eukaryota; Metazoa; Chordata; Actinopteri; Spariformes; Sparidae. The record is from RNAcentral.
GGGGUGAGCAGAUUAUGACUGAAUUUUCAUUUUGGUGUGAACUGUUCCUGUAAAUCAGUUUUUUAUAGUACAGCACAGUGAAACGUACUAAUUUUCAUUGUUUCCUGAUGCAGUGUAAGUGACAGACAUAUUAAUUCAUUGGCAGAAGAAUAUGGCAUAAAUAGGAGAUUCAAAGGUUUAAUUCAGGAUUCAAGAUUCAAAGGUUUAAUUAUCUUUAAUGAUCUUUUUAUUAAAAAAAAAUAGUGCAACCGGAAAUACAUUUUAAAUAAGAAAAUAAAACUGAAAACAGAAAAAAUAUAGAUAUACCUAUUAUAAACAAGUAAUAGAUAUAAAUAAGUGACAAAGACAGAUGUAUUUAUAUUACAGAAAAAGAUGAAGAAGACCGUGUGCAGAGUAGAAAGAUACGGGUUUAAUAUAUAUUUAUGAGCGUAUGUAAAUAUAAACUGUACUAAUAUACUAUUAUUAUCGAUCAUUUACAUGUAGAGUGUAACCUGAGGUACAGGCUACACACUCCGGUACAGUAGGUGGCGGUAUGCACCUUUGCACGUUGGAUUGCGAUCCGGGGAAGAAGAAGAAGAAGAAGAAGAAGAAGAAGACGACGACGAACAACAACAACAAGAAGAAGACGAAGUAGAGGGAAAAACAACAACACGAAAAAGUUAGAAGGUGAAGUUCGACGGACUCGCUAGCUAGUUUACAAGAAUGAAAUACGACUUUGGAUGCUCUUCCAUUGUCCUUUUCUUAAUAAAAAGUGGGAAAUGUUCGAGUUCCGAGAUGUCUGGAGCGCAGCCACAAGAAUAACGGCAAAAGGGCGUUUCAUUUGACGGCCUGUCGCUAUAACAUCAUCGAGAGUGUCAGAGAGCGAGGAAAGAAGUAAAACACCAGUUUGACAUCCUGUGAACCUGCUGAAGAUUAAAAAUGCCCACACCUGUGCAAACCCGAAAGUUGCUGAAAGAAUACCUGAGUCAUCUGAAUGAUAAAAGGAUGGAGGAAUUUCAUUGGGAAUUGUGGCAGAUUGAGACAGAUGGAUCCCAUCCCAUCCCGGAGUCCAAGCUGCCACGGAAUUCUACCAUAGAGGCAACUGUGGAUAAACUGGUGGAGGCUUUCGGGGAAGAUGAUGCUGUGGAGAGGACAGUGGCCGCUUUACGUGCGAUUAAACAUAAUGAACUUGCCUCAAAGCUAGAGCAAGCCAAAAUGGACCAAAGCAGGGAACAGAAAGCAGAUGAGCCAGAGAUCUCCUCUGCAACAGAGAAACCAAGAGGAGUCAAUCCCGACCUCACCAAGAAUAUCUCUUGUUUCUUUGCUGAACAUAUGCAGGGUGUCCUCAGUUGCUCCUGCGAUCACAAAGACUGGAAGAGCGACAUCUUUUGGACUGAACCCGCGAACAUCAGAAAGAAGCUGAAAGCUUUCAAAACUGUCAAAAAAUGGCGCAAUUCAUCAAUUGAGCAAAUUAUGACUCAGAGCUACUUCAAAGAGGAGCAGAUUAUGAACGACUUCAAGAGGCGUCGUGCCUUACUCCACGAAGAGGAAGAGACCAAACGAGCUGCAUUAAGAGAAGAAACAAGACAGAAGAUCCGUGCGACAAAUUGGAUCGCUGACACGACUGAAGACAUAUUCAUGGUCUCUGAAAUUAAAGCCAAUCGAAGGUUCCGGGCCAACAAAAGAUUCACAGAGACUUUGCAGGUCUGUACGGUUUUCAUAAUAAGCGUACUUUUGGCUGUGGGGAUUGGUUGGACUUUAACAAUUUUCGCACCGCCGGCUACAUGUGUCGAAGCACGUGGAAAACCUUCCGCUCGCAGUCUUGGAGAAGAUGUGGAACAACAUAAAAAAAACGGAGAUGAAGCUAAAUGAUACACAGCAGCCGUGUCCUUGAAACCCAGAAUGCAGCACCAGCCAUCAGCAGAAUCUACAGGAAAGUCCCAAAAGGAGGAGAGUAGAACAAGACUAUGAAAAUGGGAAAGUGUCAUUACAUGAUCCUGAUAAUAACACAUCCAUCCUGACCCAUGAGCAGACAUUCACUCAUUUUCCUGUCUUGAAUUUCGGUGAUGACACUGACGAUGAGGUCGAGCAGGGCUUUCUACUACUGAAAGACUAGUAGAACUAUAUUAAAACGGAAAUUAUAGAAAAACACAUUUGAUUGCAAAGGAUAUUAUUCUGUUCUUUAAACUAUCAAAACAGCUGGUGUUGUUUCCUACAAUUCAACAAAAGUACUCAACAGAUGGACUGCUACUAAACAAAAACAACCAAACAACAGAAUACCUCCUGACAGAAACUUUGGACAUCAGAGGUAAAGGGGCAGGAGCCAAAACCCUCUGAUGUCACAUCAUUGUACUUUAUUACUAUUGUUUGAUGUUACAUGCUUUAAACUUAUUAAGCCAUUAUUGUUGUUGUGAUGCACUCAGAUAAAAUCUUCAUAUCUUGCUUGAAAAAAUUAUAUUACGUGGUUGAAAUACUGAAAAACUUCUAUCUGAUGCACUGUUACAUUUAGCACUUAGCGCAAAGCACCACUGUGGCUAAAUCCAGCCUGACUGGGCUGCUGGCAUGACUGCUGACACUUAGUCUUGUUUUUUAAUGACCUGAAGUAAAUAUUUUAUACGAGGAAUCUCAGGUUAUCCGUUCAUCAUCAUUUUCAGAUGUUUCAUGAUGUAGUCAUCGCUGUGAAAUCCUGAUAUCUUGCAUCAAAAAUGUACAUGAUAGAAGUAUUGGAACACUGUUACAUUUGAUGUCAGGACAUUUUUUGUACAAGAUCAAUGUAUAAUUGUGAUCAUGUUUGCAUGCUGUUGUCAGUAUUUAGCUCAAAGUACCACUGUGCCUAAAUAUUCUAAAUGAGGAGACAUUUUUCCCCACGUCUUUGGGAUUUUGAGGUAUUUUUGUCAUUUGUUAUCAAAUCCUAAUAUCUUGCUUUCACAUGAUGCCACAUUUUACCAAGAUCAGUGUAUAAUUUAUCAAUAAAGCUCAUCAAAGCAUGUUGAUGCAGUGUUUUAUUAACUGGAGUUUAAACUAUAUUUCCUCUAGAAUAGAACUUUGUUAAAGAUAUAGAAUUAACAUAUCUAAAUACAACUAGACUGAGUUGUGUUUUACAUCAUCCUAGAUGUUUCCAGCCAUGUUAUUACACAUAUAUAUUGUAUAUUACAUAUUUUGGACAAAAAAUAAGUUGAGAAAACAAAUAUUUGUACAUUUUUACUGUCACUUAUUGUGAUGUUAUGACAAGCUGAGCCUGAUUAAGUGUCAGACUCUUAAUCUGCAGCUGAGCCUCACGUGGAGGCAGAAAGACAAUUGGAGUAUUUACAGUAGAGUGUAAUAAAUAUUAUGAUUCCCACUGAAGAACCUGUGACUUCAUUAUAGCAGUAAUGACGUAGUCUGAAUAUUACAGGCUGGCACACACAGGGUGCGCGUAUGGCAAGCUGUUCUAACAUUUAAUAGCUAGACUGGAUAUGUAUUGCAGAUAUCUGUAAUUCAAUUCUUCCUAGUCAAAUAGAACAUUUCAGAUAUCUACAAUGGCAUUCUUCCUAGGACAAAUGACGCCACUUUUGCCAUUCAUGUGUAUUGGGCUUUCAAUUCACACAAUAUCCACAAUUACAUUCUGGAUAUCUAGAAUGAACAUUCUGGAUAUCUGCAGCUG